Molecule: long non-coding RNA, 1076 nt
Filed under: Homo sapiens (human)
Lineage: Eukaryota; Metazoa; Chordata; Mammalia; Primates; Hominidae
Description: HSALNT0308467
Source: RNAcentral
UAUUCUGUCUUCCUGGAUAUCCCAAAGACUACUUCUCAGCUCUUCACCAGGACCAUGUACCUAGAAAUGACCAAUGGCUUGUGAGCGGAAAUGAUGUGUGUAAUUCUGGGAUAAGACUGUGAAACAUCCUUGUUCUAUCUUUCAGUUUUCCUCUUCUCCUGUGUUAGAAAGCGUGAAGAAUAUAUGUUGGAAUGAGGGAGCCCACACAAGAUAGAGCUACCUGGAUUGUCACAUCACCUUGUGGUCAUCUGUACUAACAGCAGGUCCUGCAUGUUUGGCACGGCAUCUCAACUUGAUGUCUAUUUCUUCUUGUUCUCCUUCACCUCACAUGAACCUUCCAAGUCAUAAUUCUUUGGAAAUAGACACAAGGAGCUUUAUUUCAAAUUACCAUCCUUUACUUAAGAGGUUCCAUCUCUAAGCAUAUCAGCAAUCAUGGUGACGUGCCACUCUGCUGGUAAUUCAUAUGGCUUAUUCAGAAGCACAGAUCAUGGCUGUUAGACCUGCCAGAUGUUCCCGGUCCCUAGCUGCAAUUAAGUUCCAACAUAGCCCAAUUUGAAAGAGAUUGAGAAACCACAGUUCUCAUUAAGAAUAUUCAUGAGUUUGCACCUUGAAAAGCCAGCAAUCACAUGAUAUGCCAGAACGGACAAGAUCGUUUGAGAAGAGGAAAAAAAAAAAGAUGCAAUUUAAAAUAAGUUACCAGAGAAGAUCAUUUUACCUCGGUCUGGCCAGUUGAAACACUGUGUUUGCCAUUACACAGUGGGUGUUUUUGGGAUGUGACUGAAGUCAGCCUGAGUCCAAUGAAAAUUCUGAACUUCUUCUGGAAUUAUGGUGAAGGACAAACUCUUUUUGGGUUGUAAACCUGGCAAUGUGAGUAAGAAUCUUACUGUAGUGGGAGAAUGUGCCUGAGGAUGCAGCCAACACAAUAAAAAGCAGAGUCCGGUAGAUGAAGAGUAAUAGUGUUCUGAUGAUGUCACUUAAAGCACCAAGAUCCAGCCAUGCCUGAAGUUGAUAUACCCUUUUCAGUUAUUAAAAAAGUCAACAAAACCCCUUUUUAAAAGUAAGCUAGUUUAAACUGG